CCUACGGGAGGCUGCAGUGGGGAAUAUUGGGCAAUGGGCGCAAGCCUGACCCAGCAACGCCGCGUGAAGGAAGAAGGCCCUCCGGUUGUAAACUUCUUUUGUCAGGGACGAAGAAAGUGACGGUACCUCACGAAUAAGCCACCGCUAACUACGUGCCAGCAGCCGCGGUAAUACGUAGGUGGCAAGCGUUAUCCGGAUUUACUGGGUGUAAAGGGCGUGUAGGCGGGACUGCAAGUCAGAUGUGAAAUUCCAGGGCUCAACCCUGGAACUGCAUUUGAAACUGUAGUUCUUGAGUGAUGGAGAGGCAGGCGGAAUUCGGGGUGUAGCGGUGAAAUGCGUAGAUAUACGGAGGAACACCAGUGGCGAAGGCGGCCUGCUGGACAGUAACUGACGCUGAGGCGCGAAAGCGUGGGGAGCAAACAGGAUUAGAUACCCUUGUAGUC
This 443-nucleotide ribosomal RNA is filed under the name uncultured bacterium. Its description in RNAcentral is "partial 16S ribosomal RNA". It matches the Rfam family "Bacterial small subunit ribosomal RNA", at positions 338 to 795 of the family's 1533-position model. The record is from RNAcentral.